This 28-nucleotide non-coding RNA is filed under the name Mus musculus (house mouse). Lineage: Eukaryota; Metazoa; Chordata; Mammalia; Rodentia; Muridae. The record is from RNAcentral.
UUCCAAGCAUUUGACGGGUGACGCUGAA